This 1549-nucleotide ribosomal RNA is filed under the name Salmonella enterica subsp. enterica serovar Montevideo. RNAcentral describes it as "bacterial SSU rRNA". It matches the Rfam family "Bacterial small subunit ribosomal RNA". The record is from RNAcentral. Lineage: Bacteria; Pseudomonadati; Pseudomonadota; Gammaproteobacteria; Enterobacterales; Enterobacteriaceae.
AAAUUGAAGAGUUUGAUCAUGGCUCAGAUUGAACGCUGGCGGCAGGCCUAACACAUGCAAGUCGAACGGUAACAGGAAGCAGCUUGCUGCUUUGCUGACGAGUGGCGGACGGGUGAGUAAUGUCUGGGAAACUGCCUGAUGGAGGGGGAUAACUACUGGAAACGGUGGCUAAUACCGCAUAACGUCGCAAGACCAAAGAGGGGGACCUUCGGGCCUCUUGCCAUCAGAUGUGCCCAGAUGGGAUUAGCUUGUUGGUGAGGUAACGGCUCACCAAGGCGACGAUCCCUAGCUGGUCUGAGAGGAUGACCAGCCACACUGGAACUGAGACACGGUCCAGACUCCUACGGGAGGCAGCAGUGGGGAAUAUUGCACAAUGGGCGCAAGCCUGAUGCAGCCAUGCCGCGUGUAUGAAGAAGGCCUUCGGGUUGUAAAGUACUUUCAGCGGGGAGGAAGGUGUUGUGGUUAAUAACCGCAGCAAUUGACGUUACCCGCAGAAGAAGCACCGGCUAACUCCGUGCCAGCAGCCGCGGUAAUACGGAGGGUGCAAGCGUUAAUCGGAAUUACUGGGCGUAAAGCGCACGCAGGCGGUCUGUCAAGUCGGAUGUGAAAUCCCCGGGCUCAACCUGGGAACUGCAUUCGAAACUGGCAGGCUUGAGUCUUGUAGAGGGGGGUAGAAUUCCAGGUGUAGCGGUGAAAUGCGUAGAGAUCUGGAGGAAUACCGGUGGCGAAGGCGGCCCCCUGGACAAAGACUGACGCUCAGGUGCGAAAGCGUGGGGAGCAAACAGGAUUAGAUACCCUGGUAGUCCACGCCGUAAACGAUGUCUACUUGGAGGUUGUGCCCUUGAGGCGUGGCUUCCGGAGCUAACGCGUUAAGUAGACCGCCUGGGGAGUACGGCCGCAAGGUUAAAACUCAAAUGAAUUGACGGGGGCCCGCACAAGCGGUGGAGCAUGUGGUUUAAUUCGAUGCAACGCGAAGAACCUUACCUGGUCUUGACAUCCACGGAACUUUCCAGAGAUGGAUUGGUGCCUUCGGGAACCGUGAGACAGGUGCUGCAUGGCUGUCGUCAGCUCGUGUUGUGAAAUGUUGGGUUAAGUCCCGCAACGAGCGCAACCCUUAUCCUUUGUUGCCAGCGGUCCGGCCGGGAACUCAAAGGAGACUGCCAGUGAUAAACUGGAGGAAGGUGGGGAUGACGUCAAGUCAUCAUGGCCCUUACGACCAGGGCUACACACGUGCUACAAUGGCGCAUACAAAGAGAAGCGACCUCGCGAGAGCAAGCGGACCUCAUAAAGUGCGUCGUAGUCCGGAUUGGAGUCUGCAACUCGACUCCAUGAAGUCGGAAUCGCUAGUAAUCGUGGAUCAGAAUGCCACGGUGAAUACGUUCCCGGGCCUUGUACACACCGCCCGUCACACCAUGGGAGUGGGUUGCAAAAGAAGUAGGUAGCUUAACCUUCGGGAGGGCGCUUACCACUUUGUGAUUCAUGACUGGGGUGAAGUCGUAACAAGGUAACCGUAGGGGAACCUGCGGUUGGAUCACCUCCUUACCUGAAA